Ursus americanus (American black bear) is the source of this 107-nucleotide small nuclear RNA. The record is from Ensembl. NCBI's taxonomy places the organism in Eukaryota, Metazoa, Chordata, Mammalia, Carnivora, Ursidae.
GUGCUCGCUUUGGCAGCACAUAUGCUAAAACUAGAACGAUACAGAGAACAUUAGUAUGGCCCCUGUGCAAGGAUGACAUGCAAAUUCAUGAAGCGUUCCAUAAAAAA